This 253-nucleotide ribosomal RNA is filed under the name uncultured bacterium. RNAcentral describes it as "partial 16S ribosomal RNA". It matches the Rfam family "Bacterial small subunit ribosomal RNA", at positions 524 to 776 of the family's 1533-position model. The record is from RNAcentral.
CACGUAGGGCGCGAGCGUUGUCCGGAAUCAUUGGGCGUAAAGAGCGUGUAGGCGGCUUGGUAAGUCCGCUGUGAAAGUCCAGGGCUCAACCCUGGAAUGCCGGUGGAAACUGUCAAGCUUGAGUCCGGAAGAGGCGAGUGGAAUUCCUGGUGUAGCGGUGAAAUGCGCAGAUAUCAGGAGGAACACCGGUGGCGAAGGCGGGUCUCUGGGCCGAUACUGACGCUGAGGAGCGAAAGCGUGGGGAGCGAACAGG